UUGUGCUAUAGCAGACUAUGAAGUGAUUAUGCAUAUAUAGUACAUAAAAUGGACAUUAGAUUACUCAAGCUGGCCUUGUUAGCCAGGCUUGUCUUCAGUGUCUUGGUUAGCCAAGAUCCUGACUCAUAUGAUAACAAUUUCUAGGCAAGGCAGGCUAGCCUGCAUGGCUUAUGUAAACAGGGCCUAAGAUGAUACAUUUUAACAUCAUAUGGUAGGCAUGUGAAUAUCAUACUGGCAGAUAAUUGAAUGAAAGCCUUUUUCCAUUGUUGUGUAUUUCUACCAUUUAUUUGUAGUGUUAGCACUUGUUUCUGACUUUCUGUUUAUUGGGUUUUAUUGAUGUAUCUUGAAAAGCCAGUCAUGUAUAUAUUAAUAUGAAAUUGUAUGAAAUGUAUAUAAUGAAUGAUUAGGGACCACUGGUCAUUAAUAAUGGGCGGGGCAGUGGCGUAACGGAGGAAGAAGGGCCCUUAGGCAUUUUGGUGUGGGGGCCCUGUUGACUGUUAUUGUUUGACUGAGAUCUAAAAUUUAAAUUGAAUAUUUAUCAGUAGAAUAUGGAAAAUUCUGUGUCUAUAACAAUGAUAAUAACAGUCUCCAACACAUGUAACAACUUUUAAGAAUAACUUUUGUUCUAUUUGAGAUGGAAUACCGUCGUCGAUGGAGGGUUUAUUAUUUAGCAUUAUUAAUUUUGUAUUUUUC
Non-coding RNA from Paramuricea clavata, 693 nucleotides. The record is from the annotation of a GenBank genome assembly. NCBI's taxonomy places the organism in Eukaryota, Metazoa, Cnidaria, Anthozoa, Malacalcyonacea, Plexauridae.